Molecule: ribosomal RNA, 497 nt
Filed under: uncultured bacterium
Lineage: Bacteria
Description: partial 16S ribosomal RNA
Rfam family: Bacterial small subunit ribosomal RNA
Source: RNAcentral
GAUGAACGCUGGCGGCGUGCCUAAUACAUGCCAGUCGAGCGAACAGACGAGGAGCUUGCUCCUCUGACGUUAGCGGCGGACGGGUGAGUAACACGUGGAUAACCUACCUAUAAGACUGGGAUAACUUCGGGAAACCGGAGCUAAUACCGGAUAAUAUAUUGAACCGCAUGGUUCAAUAGUGAAAGACGGUUUUGCUGUCACUUAUAGAUGGAUCCGCGCCGCAUUAGCUAGUUGGUAAGGUAACGGCUUACCAAGGCAACGAUGCGUAGCCGACCUGAGAGGGGGAGCGGCCACACUGGAACUGAGACACGGUCCAGACUCCUACGGGAGGCAGGAGUAGGGAAUCUUCCGCAAUGGGCGAAAGCCUGACGGAGCAACGCCGCGUGAGUGAUGAAGGUCUUCGGAUCGUAAAACUCUGUUAUUAGGGAAGAACAAAUGUGUAAGUAACUAUGCACGUCUUGACGGUACCUAAUCAGAAAGCCACGGCUAACUACGUG